CUGGGAUCCCGAGUCAGGCAUUAACAGCAUCAACAUCAUCAUCAGUGAUAACUGUAUCUGCUGCUGCUGCUACUGUUACCACUACUACUGAUUGAGUAUUACCAUGGAUGCCAGGCAUCCUUUGAAGGUGCAGCUUUCAAGAGACUUUCAGAAAAGCCCUCCAUGAGACACCUUUCUCUGUGCUGUGGGAUGAUGGCGCGCUGGGAGAUGAGAGACAGGGUGGAGAAGCCUGGCUCUGGGCCUGAGUCCCCUGCAAGGUACUGGAGCUGGUGUUUAUAAACCUGUCCCUUCAGUACUUGGAAGACAUCCCAUACUUGUCUGGGAGAAUCCUGGACACCUCAUCUCUCAGAGGACAUCUGCAAGCAACUUCCACUUUACUGAAAAUUCUUUAAGCAGUUUACUCAUCCUGGAUAUUUGGAGGCAUUUAAAGAGUGAAGGAGGAGAAAAAUAUAAGCCUCCAGACACUGAUGAGACACUUUCCAUACCUUGACAGCUAUAGAUUCAAAUAAAGUGUGGCUCUGGUCAUUGUCCCAUCCU
Odocoileus virginianus texanus is the source of this 537-nucleotide long non-coding RNA. RefSeq lists it as uncharacterized. The record is from RefSeq and is a predicted model, not a curated record. NCBI's taxonomy places the organism in Eukaryota, Metazoa, Chordata, Mammalia, Artiodactyla, Cervidae.